AUUGAACGCUAGCGGCAUGCCUAACACAUGCAAGUCGAGCGGAGCGGCGGACGGGUGAGUAAUGCCUAGGAAUCUGCCUGGUAGUGGGGGAUAACGACCCGAAAGGGUCGCUAAUACCGCAUACUAUCAGAUCAGCCUAGUUCGGAUUAGCUAGUUGGUGGGGUAAAGGCCUACCAAGGCGACGAUCCGUAGCUGGUCUGAGAGGAUGAUCAGUCACACUGGAACUGAGACACGGCCCAGACUCCUACGGGAGGCAGCAGUGGGGAAUAUUGGACAAUGGGCGAAAGCCUGAUCCAGCCAUGCCGCGUGUGUGAAGAAGGUCUUCGGAUUGUAAAGCACUUUAAGUUGGGAGGCGGUACCAGCAGAAUAAGCACCGGCUAACUUCGUGCCAGCAGCCGCGGUAAUAC
This 407-nucleotide ribosomal RNA is filed under the name uncultured bacterium. Its description in RNAcentral is "partial 16S ribosomal RNA". It matches the Rfam family "Bacterial small subunit ribosomal RNA", at positions 30 to 526 of the family's 1533-position model. The record is from RNAcentral.